GACGAACGCUGGCGGCGUGCCUAAUACAUGCAAGUAGAACGCUGAAGGAGGAGCUUGCUCUGCUGGAUGAGUUGCGAACGGGUGAGUAACGCGUAGGUAACCUGCCUGGCAGCGGGGGAUAACUCUUGGAAACGAUAGCUAAUACCGCAUAAAAUUGAUUAUUGCAUGAUAGUCUAUUAAAAGGUGCAAUUGCAUCACUACCAGAUGGCUCUGCGUUGUAUUAGCUAGUUGGGGAGGUAACGGCCCACCAAGGGAAGGAUUCGUAGACGACCGGAGAGGGUGGUCGGCCACACUGGGACUUGGACGGGGCCCAUGCGACUGCGAGAGGGAGCAGUAGGGAAUCGGAGGCAAUAGACGGAAGUCUGGCAGAGCGACGCCGAGUGAGAGAAGAAGGUGCUCGGAUCGGAAAGCUCGGUUGUAAGAGGAGAACGAGUGUGGGAGUGGAAAGUGCACAUUGUGACGGUAUCUGACCAAAAAGGGACGGCUAACUACGUG
Molecule: ribosomal RNA, 495 nt
Filed under: uncultured bacterium
Lineage: Bacteria
Description: partial 16S ribosomal RNA
Rfam family: Bacterial small subunit ribosomal RNA
Source: RNAcentral